AACGGCCGUACCAUGCUGAAUAUACCGGUUCUCGUUAGAUCACCAAAGUUAAGCAUCAUUGGGCGCGGUCAGUACUUGGGUGGGUGACCACCUGGGAACACCGCGUGCCGUU
This 112-nucleotide ribosomal RNA is filed under the name Caerostris darwini. The record is from RNAcentral. Lineage: Eukaryota; Metazoa; Arthropoda; Arachnida; Araneae; Araneidae.